This 1370-nucleotide long non-coding RNA is filed under the name Cyanistes caeruleus (blue tit). RNAcentral's name for it is "lncRNA (ENSCCEG00000007423.1)". The record is from RNAcentral. Lineage: Eukaryota; Metazoa; Chordata; Aves; Passeriformes; Paridae.
UGCGUGUAUUUAUUUUAUAUUUUUAUAUAUAUAUUUUCUGCUGCCUUCAGGAUGUUUUGUGCCAAGAAGGGAGAAAGAAAUCCUGACAAAUAACAAGUUCAUGGAGUGCUUAAAUCUGAAGACAUGUUCAAGGAUUCCUUUUCUUCCUGAAAGGACCUGCUGGCACUUCUCUCCCCAGCUGUCUCUGAGUGAAGGCAGGCAGGCUGGCAGCUGGACAGGGUUGGAGGAGCAGAGCAUAAACUCCAGAUGAUUGUCUGGACUGGCUCAAGGGGCCGUCAGGUGUGAGGUUUGGAUGGAGAUCUGUGGAGUUUGACGCCUUGCCCAGACAGAGCUGGAGUUCAAUCACUCAAAGGCACGUCCGGCCAGACACAGCCAUUGUGUCGGGUCCUGGAAUGGGAAUAUCCUGAGAUUUCUAUCGGAGACACAGAAGGUUUGGCCUCACAGGUCACUUCACUUCUUUCUGGCCCCUGCUGCUGAUAAACAGCUCCAACUCCUGUGCUUGCAGAGCUGUUUGCUGGUGCCUGUAGGUGUCCAGAUCUACCUGAGGAGGGGAUUUUUGCCUUUUGGCCUGGGUGUUCCAGCCCCUGGGCAGGGAAGCUGUGCUCCGUGAGCUCGGCACGAGCCAGAUUUAUUUGAGUCUGCACUCCUGCUCGUUAGAAAAAGCCUGAGGUGGAGAGGGUGUAUCUUAGUAAUGGCAUCAAGGGUGUUUAUUUGGAGACAGGUUGAGAUUUAGAGUGUCACUUUGGAUUGUUAUAAAUUGAACUGUUUACUCUUUGCCCGGUUAUUUAUGCUGCCAUGAUAUUGCAGCAGUGAAAUCCACUGCUCUGGCAGGAUCAGCCCCUGAUCCCACUGAUGUAGGGCCGUGGCCAGAGCUCCUCUGUCACUCUGUGCCAGAGCUGUCACUGCAGUGUCUCCUCUUUAAUCUUUACGCCACAGCAACAGCAGUGACCAGACAGCCCACGGUGACUCCCAGAAGAGCAGCAGCAAAAAUAUUCAGCUUAUUUUAUCUGUGCCAGAUCCCAGACUGAUCCAUCAUCCUCCAGAGAGCAGUGAGACCACCCCAAGAGCUGAGGGACAGUGUCCACCCUCUUCCUGCAGCACAUCUGAGGGGGCUGGUGACAUCCUGCCUGCUGCAGAGCUGCUUCUGUCAGGAUAACCAGGUAGGGAGCAAAAUAUGUCUGUUUUUAAAGGCCUGGAGAGGCCAGAAUAAUCCAAACUCAGGCUUGGCAAGGCACAGCAUUGCAGCACAUUCCUCCACUACUCUAACUCCAGGCUGGGGCUGUACAGACAGACGAUACUGGCAAGGCAGCAGGAGUUGAGUUUGUGUUUUUUUUUUGGGGGGGGGAAUAAAGAUUAAUGCAGCAACUGUU